This 669-nucleotide ribosomal RNA is filed under the name Mastacembelus armatus (zig-zag eel). RNAcentral describes it as "partial 12S ribosomal RNA". It matches the Rfam family "Bacterial small subunit ribosomal RNA", at positions 512 to 1495 of the family's 1533-position model. The record is from RNAcentral. Lineage: Eukaryota; Metazoa; Chordata; Actinopteri; Synbranchiformes; Mastacembelidae.
CCACCGCGGUUAUACGAGAGACUCAAGUUGAUAAACUACGGCGUAAAGAGUGGUUAAGAACAUUUUAAAAUAAAGUUGAAUGCUUUCUAAGCUGUCAUACGCACCUGAAAGUAAGAAGCCCAACUACGAAGGUGACUUUACAAAAUUCUGACCCCACGAAAGCUAGGUCACAAACUGGGAUUAGAUACCCCACUAUGCCCAGCCUUAAACAUAAAUAGCACCCCACAUUAGCUAUUCGCCAGGGAACUACGAGCCCCAGCUUAAAACCCAAAGGACUUGGCGGUGCUUUAAAUCCACCUAGAGGAGCCUGUUCUAUAACCGAUAACCCCCGUUCAACCUCACCUUCCCUUGUCCAUUCCGCCUAUAUACCGCCGUCGUCAGCUUACCCCCUAAGGGCUGAACAGUAAGCAUAAUUGGUUCAACCUCAAACGUCAGGUCGAGGUGUAGCGCAUGAGAAGGAAAGAAAUGGGCUACAUUCACUAUUUAAGUGAACACGAAUGAUAAAUUGAAACAUUCAUCUGAAGGAGGAUUUAGCAGUAAGCAGAAAAUAGAGCGUUCUGCUGAAAUUGGUUCUAAAGCGCGCACACACCGCCCGUCACUCUCCCCAAACCAUUAUCACCCCAUAACUAAACAUAAAAUAACCACAAAGGGGAGGCAAGUCGUAACAUG